Molecule: unclassified non-coding RNA, 380 nt
Filed under: uncultured Gemmatimonadaceae bacterium
Lineage: Bacteria; Pseudomonadati; Gemmatimonadota; Gemmatimonadia; Gemmatimonadales; Gemmatimonadaceae
Description: contains 16S-23S intergenic spacer region
Source: RNAcentral
UCCGAGUUGACCCCGGCAGUCUCUCACGAGUCCCCACCAUUACGUGCUGGCAACAUGAGACAAGGGUUGCGCUCGUUGCGGGACUUAACCCAACAUCUCACGACACGAGCUGACGACAGCCAUGCAGCACCUGUGCACGGACUCCGAAGAGGGGCCGAUGUUUCCACCGGCUUUCCCGUGCAUGUCAAGCGCAGGUAAGGUUCUUCGCGUUGCUUCGAAUUAAACCACAUGCACCACCGCUUGUGCGGGCCCCCGUCAAUUCCUUUGAGUUUCAGCCUUGCGGCCGUACUCCCCAGGCGGGGUACUUCCUGCGUUAGCGCCGGCACCCAAGGGGUCGCUCCCCCAGGCACCUAGUACCCAUCGUUUACGGCGUGGACUAC